UACAACCAAGCCACAUCCUCAGCCUCUGCUUGCAAUUCUCGAUAUAGCGUCCUACUGCUCUGAAAAAGCCCGGAUGGAACCUAGUCUGAUAAAGGAUGCGCAGGAGGCGUGGGUUGUACAGGUUUAAUAUAAGCCUUUUUUCCGAGAAGGAAGAAGAAAAAGAGAGCACUGGAAGGGAAUGCGAAGCAGAGGAAGUCGCAGCUAGCACCUUCGUGGAGAAAGGGCCAUGGAGGCUGGGUCUGAAUUCUAGCACGUUCCUAUGUGGCUGAGAAAAGAAGAAAAAAGCUCCGCCCCAUUCAGACAGCGCCAAGGAGAGGAACAGGGGGUCGUCCCAGCUGUGUCAACAUUGGAGAAAAUGAGUUAGUGAGCUGGAGUAAAGUCUUUGCAGGGA
Rattus norvegicus (Norway rat) is the source of this 391-nucleotide non-coding RNA. The record is from RefSeq and is a predicted model, not a curated record. Lineage: Eukaryota; Metazoa; Chordata; Mammalia; Rodentia; Muridae.